RNAcentral lists this ribosomal RNA (274 nucleotides) under uncultured Ascomycota. RNAcentral's name for it is "partial 18S ribosomal RNA". It matches the Rfam family "Eukaryotic small subunit ribosomal RNA", at positions 548 to 829 of the family's 1831-position model. The record is from RNAcentral. Lineage: Eukaryota; Fungi; Ascomycota.
UUGGAGGGCAAGUCUGGUGCCAGCAGCCGCGGUAAUUCCAGCUUCAAUAGCGUAUAUUAAAGUUGUUGUGGUUAAAAAGCUCGUAGUUGAACCUUGGGCCUGGCCGUCCGGUCCGCCUCACCGCGUGUACUGGCUCGGCCGGGCCUUUCCCUCUGUGGAACCCCAUGCCCUUCACUGGGCGUGGCGGGGAAACAGGACUUUUACUGUGAAAAAAUUGAGUGCUCCAGGCAGGCCUAUGCUCGAAUACAUUAGCAUGGAAUGAUAGAAUAGGACG